AUAUUAUAUAUGUAGUAUCAUUAUUAUAUAAGUUAUUAUAUAUAUAAUAUAUACUAUAUGUAUGUACAAUAUUAUAUAUAAUAUGUAUGUAUUAUAUAAAUAUAGUGUAUAUAUUAUAUAUAUAUUAUGUACGUAUAUAUAUAUAUAUAUUAUAUAAUAUUAUAUAUUAUAUUUAUGUAUUGUACGUUAAUAUAUAUAUAUAUAGUAUCAAUAUUUUAUAUAUGAUGUUAAUAUAUAUUUAAAUAUAUAUAUUAUAAGCUGCGACGAUAUAUAGAUAUAUAUAGGCCCAACAAAACGCUAUUAUAUUAUAUGUAUAUUAUAUACAUAAUAUAUAUUUGUAUAUUUAUAUAUAGUUAAUUAUUUAUACGAUAUAUAUUGGACUAUAUAUUAUGUAUUGUACAUAUAUAUAUAUAUGGUAAUGUAUUAUGUACAUAUAUUAAUAUAUGUAUGUAUGUAUGUAACUAUAUAUGUAUUGUCAUGUAUGUACAUUAUUAUAAUAUAUAUAAUAUAUAUUUUAUAACUAUAUUACCUUAUAUAUAUAUUUAUUAUAUAUAUAUAUAUAUGGGGUGUACAUAAUAUACAUUUAUAUAUAGUAUAUAUUUUAUAUGAUAUAUAAUAAUCUAUGUAUGUAUGUACAUACAUAUAUAUAUAUAUAUGUAUGUACACACAUAUAUAUAUAUAUUUAUGUUAUGUACAUAUCAUACAUACACAUAUAUUAUAUAUAUAUAGUGCUGUCUGAGUAUGUUCUGAGUACGGGACGCGCGUCCGCUGCUUGCCGAGCGGUAUUCAAAUGUUCGGACUUUCGAUAUCGACGAUUCGACUCCUUAGAUUUGAUAUAGAGUAUUUGAGGAUCUAGAAAAUAAUUUUGUAUUUUUCGAUUCAUUUGCUAUGUGAUCGAAGUGCUCAAAUCACACGGAUGAAAAUAAAAAUAUACAAAAUAUGGAUGAUAUGACAUUAAAAUUUUUUAGAUCAAAGUUUUGAUCUUUUUAUACGGUAUAAAGAAUUUCUAUCAAAAUUUUCAUGUUGAUUUGGAUAUUUCUACACGUUAAACUUGGCAACGGAGUCCCACGGCCUGUUAAAAUAUUGAUUUGAGCCCUUCGAUCAUUAGGCAAUUAUCAAAAAUCACAUAAAUUUAUUUUCUAGAUAUUAUCAAUACUCUAGAUCAACUCCUAACGGAGCGAUCGUCGAUUCAAACAAGUCCGAACAUCGAAACAACUUGAAGCACGGAGGGCUCCGUGCUUCCAAAAGCAUAUCAGCCACUUCAUAUAUAUAUAUAUAUAAUAUAUAAGUAGGGCUAGAAUACUUGCUAAAAGUAUCCAUGGGGGUGAUACUUUUGUGUUUUUUAGCCCUUUGGAUGCGAGAGAUGUGAAGUUGAGAUGAUGGUGGUAGGUGGUGGUAGUGGUGGGGUAGGUGGAAUAGUGUUUAAUCCAAGGGCUCGAUUUAAUAUCAAAAAGUAAUCCAAUGGCUUAAAAAUCCUAAUUAGCACCAUGAUGGUUGAUAUUGUAAAAGUAUCAUAGCUCAACUCUAUAUAUUAUACAUAUAAUAUUAUAUAUAUAUUAUAUAUUAUUAUUAUAAUAUUAUAUGUAUAUGUAUAUUGUACAUAUAUGUAUAUGUACAUAUAAUUAUAAUUACAUAUGUACAUAUACCAAUAUACAUAUAUAUAUAAUUAUAUAUAUGUAAUAUUCGUAUAUAUAUACAUAGUAUAUCUACUACUAUAUACAUAUGUAUAUAUAUUAGAUAUACAUAUGCUAUAUCUAUACUAUGUAUAUCUAUAUAUAUAUACAUAAUAUAGAUAUACAUAUGUAUAUAUAUGUAUAUGAUAUAAUAUAUAUAUAUAUUAUAUAUAUAUGUUCAUUAUGUAUAUAAUUAUAUAUUACAUAUGAUUACAUAUGUAUAUAGUAUUAUAUAAUAUGUAUACAUAUGUAUAUAUAUAUAUAUAUACCUAUGUAUAUAUAUAAAUAUAUAUGUAAUUAUAUAUAUACAUAUGUAUAUCUAUAUAUUACAUAUUGAUAUCUAUGUAUAUAUAUAUAUACAUAUGUAUUUAUAUAAUAUACAUAUUAUAUUAUACAUAUGUAUAAUAAAUACAAUAUGAUAUAUAUAUGUAUAUAACAUAUAAUAUAUAUAUAUGUAUAUACUUACAUAUAUAUAUAUGUAUUAUAUACUAUAUAUUAUGUAUAAGUAUAUAUUAUAUAUAUAAUAGAAUGGAGGCUCCUAUGCUUUUAAAAGUACCAAGGUUUAUUGAGUGCUUUCUGUAGAUUUUUUAGCCAUUUGAUUAAGGAUAUCGGUUUAGAAUGAUGUGGGCCCUAGGUUGAGUGGCGUGGUUGGUUGAUAGUAUAAUCUAAUGUGGGAAAAUGAUCCGAGAAAUAGAUCUAACAGUAAAAACUUACAAGUAGCCAAGCUGCUCUGUCUUUUACAAGCACCAUAGCUAGCAUAUAUAUGAUCAUUAUAGUCUGGCGUGGGUCUAUCGAUCACCAAGACUUGAGUGUAGCACUUAGUGCUAUCGAGUUUUCUACGUAGAUUACCCCUGUUGAUUAUUUUUAUCCGUUAGAUCUAUGACUUUCAACAACCACCCACUAACCUUUUGGGAGCCCCCAUUCAUCCUGAACCGCAACAUUCUCUAAUCAAUGGCUAAAAAACUAAUAACGACAACAACUUUGGUGGCUAAUUCGAUAUUUAUUCUAGCCUAAAUUAUAUAAUACUAUAAUAUAUAUAUAUAUUAUUAUUAUAUAUAUAUAUAAUAUUAUAAUAUAGUGAGCUGACUAUGCUUUGGAAAUACGGGAGCCUCUGUGUUCCAGGUCUUUUUAUCCAUGUUGGGACUUUUGAAUCGCUUGAUGGAUCGUUAACUUGAUCGUAAAGAUUUGACAGUACCUAGAAAAUAAAUUACGAUGAUUUUUUCGUAAUAUUAUUUGCUUAGUGAACGAAUGGGCUCAAAAUCACGCUGAAAAUUAAAAAAUUUACAAAACGUCGAUAAUAUGACUUUAAUUUAGAUCAAAAAUUAUUGAUCUUGUUUUAUAUUUAGCAUAAAGAAUUUCUAUCAAAUUUCACAUGAUUUGGAUAUUUCUACACUGUUAAACUUUGAAAAGCUCACUACGCAUUAAAAUUAUUAAUUUGAGCCCUUCUAUACUAGCAAGAUAUAUCGAAAAAUAUAAAAUUUUUCUAGUACUUCAAAUAUUGUAGAUCAAGUUUGACAGAGCGACGACUUCGAAAGGUCGCAACUCGGAAACGACCUGGCAGCCGGAAGUUCCUGUUCCAAAAUAGUAGCUCACUUAAUAUAUAUAAUUUAUAUUAGAUCCAGCAUGGGCUUGUUAAAAAGAACAAGCACUUGGAUGUUGUAAUUGUUUUUUACCGUUUAGAUCUACUCCUCGGAUCAUUCUAUCAACUAUAGAUUAUACUAUUCAACACAACACCCACUCAACCCUAGGGGGCCAUAUCCUAACCGCAUAUAUCUUAAUCCAAUGAGCUAAAAACUCUAUAAGCACCAUAAUCUUCGGACUUUUAAAAAUAUAGAGCCUAAUAUAUUAUUAUAUUAUAUAUAUAUAUAUAUAUAUGGGCUUACUAUGAAACAAAAAAAAGGUUUACCAUCAUUUUCUAGCAAUUCCUUUCGAAAGUCUCAUGACAACUAAGUUCCUGUACGAGAAAAGCUUUUGCAUUCAUUAUCACGAAAGCAACCAAGUUCCCACAAUAUAUUUUCCGAUCAAAAAAACAUUACCACACAUGAAUAUCGAAUCUUUCUAUGUAUUAUCAAUAUGCCAAAAAUGAAUAAUAAGCCAUACUUUUAAUGAAGCAGUAAUAACGGAAUAGCCUAUUAGCUUAUAUAUGUCGAUAUAUUUAUAUAUGUAUAUCUAGUGCUCAAACGGACUCAAAAUUAAUGCGCGCAGAACCCCCGCGGAGCGUCGGUGGUGGCGUUGGGACGGCGGGAGGCCGGGGGAAUGCGGAAGUGCCAGAGCCUUCCGGCGCCGCCGACGCGGUAUUUUUCGCAGAGGAACUCGAGCGCGUAGGCCCUCUCGACCCUGCGGUCGACGUCGUGGAGGAAGACGUCGGUGUCGCCUUCGCCGCUCCGGGCCCAGGCCAUCGCCGCCGCCGUGUAGAUCGCGCCCAUGCGGCCCGGCGCGGCGGCGAAGUAGCCGCGCGGCGCGUCGAUCAUGAUGGCGUCCCACUCGCGCGCGUAGGCCUCGGCGGGGAGGUCGGGGAGGGCGAGGGGGCAGCGGCGGCCGCGGGGGUCGAGAUCGGCGCAGGGGGAGGGGUCGGAUCGGAGGGAGGCGAGGAGGGCGUCGGCGUCGUCGAGCCGGGUCGGGUAGCGGGCGAGGCGGGCGCGGAGGGAGGGCGCGGCGGCGAGCGCGGAGCGGAGCCACUUCGGGUCCUCCUCCAGGAACAGCGUGGCGCCGCCGGGGUUCAGCGCCGACCAGAGCAGCGAGUCGUGCCCCACGCCGAACACCAGCAGGUUGCACGGCGCGCGCCGCCGGAGCACGGCCAGGGAGACGCCGAUCUCCGCCCGCGACUGCUGCGGCACGACCGAGCUCGUCGCGUAGUGGACCAGCGCCGCCGACAGCUCCGCCGCCGCGGCCGCGGAGGCCGCGGCGUAGGAGGCCGAGACGCCGUCCGAGGGCGAGCGCCAGCGCGGCGCCACGAUGGAGCAGAGCAGGGCUGCGCGGUCGCCGGCGCCGGACCGGAGGACGAGGGCGGAGGCGACGAGCGCCGCCGCGACCAGCGCCGCCGCCGCGGUCGCCACGAACCGCCUCUCCGGGAGCGCGCGCGCCAUCGCGCAGGUGAUCGCCGAUCUUUUCCCGAUUUCUUUUUCCCCCCUUAUUUUAUUAUUAUUUUUCUUUAACUCUCUCUGGAAAAAAUCGCCGAGCAAUGAACAGAGAAAGAGAGAGACAGUGUGAGUGAGAAAAAGAGAGAGAGAGAGAGUUAAUGGAGAUUCGAGAUGUGGGGAACGAGCAAUGUAAGGUGAAUUUCACUACAAGUCCCCAAACUUUCAUAAAAUUUUGUUUAGUCCAUAAACUCUUUAAUAAAAUGUUAAUUAAGGCCCUACACAUUCAAAUUGUUUCAUCUUUAGUUCAUACUUUAGAUUAGAAGCUAUUCCUUAUAUACUUAUUUAUCUACUUCUUUGUACACCAUAAAUUCAUCAUCUUUUCAUCCAUUCAAAAUUCUAAUUCUUUUUUAUGUUAAAAAAAUUGUAAUUUAAUAAACAGUAGAAUUAAUAUAUAUGAUGGAAAAGAAUAUAUCCAAUUUAGAUACUGAAUAAAUAUACAGAUGUACUGAGUGUAGAAAAUAAAUUACUAUAUAAUAAUAGUAAAUAUAUAUAGGAACAAAAGUUAAAUUUGCAUUUAUUAUAGUAAAUUUUGAUUGGAGAACGCUACUCAUCAAAUAUAGAGUGCGGUGUGCGGAGUGUUCGCAUGCACUAGUUGCAGGGAAUAAUUUCUCUUCACCGUUUAAUUACGAAAAUGCCUUCGUGUUUUCAGACCACGAUUCGCCAUUUAAUUACCGGAAUACCAUCCUCCGCACUCGUGGUUUUGNUUUUUUUUUUUUUUUUUUGUCCGCCCACUCCCCGGUGCAGUUACCGCUGGUUCGGAGAAUUUAGGGCAGGGAGGUAAUUUCGCACGGCGGUGGAAAUGGUUUUCGAAGUGCGAGCGAACCGAUAACUUGGUGACACGUGGCGUGUAUAUGUCAGAUAAAGUGGAUCUUAUACGUGGCGCGUUGUAAUAGAUUGAUUCGGGUCGUGGGAGGGGUCGGAUCUGAAUUUCUCCGACCGAAUCGCGUAGAUCCACGUGGUACGAUGUACUGAGCGGAUUUUUAUUUUUUUUUUUUGAAAAAAUGUGUAUAGCCCCCUCAACUAUGGAUCGUUUUGAACUACACCCAUCAAUUUUGUUUUUCUAAUUCGGACAAAAAACUUUUAAUUUUUUUUAAAAAAUUCAAGUUUUCAAACUUUGUUGCAUUAAAACUAUAACUUUAAUAAUUAUUAACCGUUAAUUUCUCUUCUUUCCUUUGUUAAAAAUAUUUAAAGUUGUUAAAUUUGAUAAAUUAUUAAUAAAUUUAAAAAUUUUUAAUUUUGUUGACUAAAAUCACUUUAUUUGGAAAAAAAAUUAGAAGUUUAGGAAGGUCUUUGUCACAAAAAUAAAAGUUGAGAGGACCAUUUGAGAAUGGCCUACAAGUUUGGAUUCCCAACAUUUUUACCAUGUUUUUUUUUUUUUUUAUGGUUAAAAUACAUGGAGACCCCUCAACCUCUCCCCAAAAAAAUAAAAUAAAAUAAAUUGAAUAUUGGAAAAUAGAAGGCUACCAAUAUAUAUUUAUUUCUAAAGAAUGAGAAUUCUUUUAAAAAAAAUAAGAAAUUAUACCUAACUAGUUCGCUUUUAACUUAAAAAAAAAACUUCAAAUAUCACUUCUGUAGUUUCGUACUUUUUUACUUUAGUACCUUAUAGUUUAAAGCGUAUUAAUUUAGUAUCCUGUGGUUUCGCACUUUCUCACUUUAGUACCCUGUGGUUUAAAGUGCACCAAUUUAGUACCCUGUGGUUUUAUUUUUCUCGUUUCGCCGGCUUCUUUGUUCAUAUUUUGUUAAAUUAUACACAAAAAAUCUCAUAUACCUUAUCUAGGUUUAUCGAAUAUUUACUUUAGUUUCCUUUAUUUUUAACUCUAUUAUUGAUUUUUUUUUCUCCGUUAAUAUUUUGUUAAAUUAUAUACAAAAAACUUCAUAUACCCUACAUAGGUUUAUCGAAUAUUCACUUUAGUACCCUUUAAUUUUAACUUUGUCACUGAUUUAACGAAAAAAAUUAGUGAAAUGGAUAAUAAAAAAAAAAUAAAACCAUAGGGUACUAAUUUAAUACACUUUAAACCAUAGGAUACUAAAGUGAGAAAGUGCAAAACUACAGGGGCUAACUUGAUACACUUUAAACCACAUGGUACUAAAGUGAGAAAGUGUGAAAUCACAAGGGGGGUAUUUGAAGUUUACCCCUUAAUUAAAGAACAAAUUUAUAAACCAUUUCUCAAAUUACAAAACUUGAUUACAAAUUUAAAAAAUGAUAUUUGAAAGAAAGAUGAAGCUAUUUCAUCUAUUAAUAAAUAAAUUAAAAACAUACAAUAUAAUUUUCACAUACUCUUUGGUAGCAUUUGGUUCAGAAACAAGGGGGAAAUAAGCCCUUGUUCCCCCUAUUGUUUCCAAACGUAGUGUUUGGUAUCCGAGAGCAAUAAUUCUUAAAUUUUUGGAAUAAGCCGGUAUAAAGUUGGAAUUGUUGUUCCACCUUUUUUCUGGAACAAGCUUGUUGCAAUGUGAGAAUAAGAUUAAUUAAACUCUAAAAAUAAUUUUAAUUAUAGUAUUAAUUAAUUAAUUAAUUAAUUUAAUAUAUUUAAAAUAUUAUUUAAUACUUAAAUAAUAAAAUAAUUUAUUAAUUUAUUAUUAUAAUUAUUAAUUAAAUUAUUAUUAUUUAUAAUUAUUAAUAAUUACUUAAUUUAUUAAUUUAUUAAUUUAUAAUUAACUAAUUUAUCAUUAAUUUAUUCUUAGUUAAUUAAUUUAUUAAAAUUAUUAUUUAUAAUUAUUAAUAAUUUAUGAUUAUUAAUUAUUUAAUUUACUAUUAAUUAAUGUAUUAUUAUUUAUAAUUAUUAUUAAUUUAUUAUUUAUACUAUAUUAUCUAAUUAAUUUAUUAUUAAUAAUUUAUUAUUUAUAAUUUAUUAUCUAAUUAAUUUUUUAUUAACUACUUAAUUUAUUAUUUAUAAUUAUUUAUAAUUUAUUAUUUAAUUAUAAUUAUUUAAUUAAUUUAUUUUUAUAAUUAUUAAUAUUAAUUUAUUAUUUUAAAGUAAUAUUUUGAUGUUUUUUAAUUAGAUAAAAUAUUUUUAAUUUAAAAUUAUAACUCUUAUUUCUUUUGUUCUAAUCUAGCCAUCCAAACACUAUUUAUCUUAUUCCUAGGACCCAAUUUUCAUCCGAAUGCAAAAUUGGUCUAGUUCCUGCUUAUACCUAAACUCGUACCUAUCCCUGAAAUAAGCAGUUUUUAUUCAUACCCGAACCAAACGCAGCCUUUAAAUUUAACUAAUUAUAUUCAUUUUUAAUUGAAUAUUUAAUUUUUCAAAAUUUUAAUUUUACUAUUCAAUAUUUCUAAUGUGUUAUUAGAUUUGAUUCAGUCAACGAUAUUUUGAUUUUAAAAUAUAAACACAUUAUUUAUUUUUACAAAUUUAAUUCUUAUACUUUAUUAAACUAUAAAUUUAUAUUAAAAUAAAUUAUUAAUUUAAAUUUUGAACUUAAAAUAUCGUUUCUAACAACUCAAUCCAUAGUUUCGAUAAAUUAUGUAUAUAUAUAUUUUUUUAUAUUUUAUUUUUUUGAAAAUAUUUUACUCAAAAAUUAAAGUGUCGUGGCACGAAGUCGUGCGGAAACUUGCUAGCACGGUACGACACAAUGCUUGUUGGACAGUGUUAAUGCAUGCCAGUCAAAAAAAUAAAUGUAUGCCGACACGUAAUGACGUAAAUUUUUUUUUAAUAAUAAAAUAUGUCAAUUAUUUAUUAUAUAUUUUUAUCAAAUUUUUAAAAUUUUAUUAAGAAAAUUAUUUACUAAUUUCAAAAAUAAAAGAUUUUGAAUUGUGUUAUCGGUACGAAAACUGUAUUAUAUCAAUAUCUUACUGAUAUGAUAUGGUACGAUGGAUAAAAUUUGUGUUGAUGGACACUUAAUUUAAUCUUUGAUUUCACCACUGGAAUAUAUAUAAGUUCGUACGACAAAAAUACCAAACAAUAAUUACACCGAUUCUACGAUACUUACGAGAUGUUUCACGGACCAUUUAUUGUACGGUGCACGGAUUAAGUGAUGGACCACAGGAUCAUGUUUUGGGGGUAUGUAUGUAUGCAUGAAUAUAAAACACCUUUGGAUAUGUUACGAAGCGACAAGUGGCAUUAUUUCAUUGGUUAGUAUCUUUUUGGCCACUUCUGCAUAGGAUCCUAUAAUGGAUCAAUACUGUAUAUAAAUUUUGCACUUAUUGGUAUAAAAUUUUAAAUUUUUUAAAAUUUUUUAAUAUUUAACAAAUUAAUAAGAAUAAUACAAAAUAUUGGUUUUUGGAUAAAUAAGGUAUCAGAUUUGUACCGGUUUUUUUUGGUGUAUAGGUUGUGGGUUCAUUUGUAUAAAAUACUCAUCAAUUUUGCAUUUUUGUAAGAAAAAGGCCAUUUUUUUUUUGUAAAUUUAUAGAUUCGGUUUGAAAUUUUAGUAAAUUGACCAAAAUAGUUUUGUUACCCUUUUUCUCUCUCUCUCUCUCUCUCUCUUUUUUUUCUCUUUUGUUUUCUUCCUCCCAGUUCUGUCUUCCUCUUUUUCGCUGUUUCUUCAUCUUUUUCUCCUCCCGCUUUCUCUUUUUCUCCUUCUCCUCCACCGCCCCCACGCCGACGGCUCGCUCUUCUCUCUAACCUUGCCCAUGCCUCUGCCGACUCCAUCUCGGAUAUGAUACAAAUUAAGGAGGUGAGACUGAGGUAGAGGGUUGGUCACGUCGACGACAACGAGGGUACCGUAGGAUUUGAGGACAAUGGGGAGGAAGAGCGAGUUGGGGUAAGGGCGGCUAUGACAACAGAGGGUAAGGGGAUGCGAUAACGUAAAAAGGUGAAGAAGAUGGAAGAAAAUGAAGAAGAAAAAAUAAAAAGAAAAUAUAAGAGAAAAAUAUAUAUAUAUUUUUUGAAAAGAUCAUUAUGUGUCAUAACUAUUAUAAGAAAAGACCAGAAAGUAUAAAAAAAAUAGAAGAAGUUACAUUAUUUGAGACGAAAUUGCAUUGUUUAAGAUUAUGUGUUACUUUCUGAGGUUAAAUUGCACAAUUUAAAACUAUUUGAAACUAAGUUGCACCAUAAAAAAUAAAGUUACUGAUUGAGACUUAAGUUGUAUUGUUUGAGAACCUGCAACUUAAUCUCAAAUAGUUUUAAAUGAUAUGUUUAAGUCUCAAUAGUAUAACUUUUUUUUUAUAUAGUGCAACUUAGCCUCAAAUAGUUUUAAAUUGUGCAAUUUAGUUCCAAACAGUAUAACUUCAUCUCAAAUAGUAUAACUUUGUUCUACACCGUGCAGCAUUUCUUCUUCUUUCUUCUCUAUUUCUUGAUCUUUCCUGUAACGACCACAUCAUAUGAUUGCCUUCCCAGAAAUAUAUACAUUUCUUUUUUUUUUCUCUUUCUUUUUUUUUCUUCUACCCUUCGUAUUUUUUACGCUAUCUCACCCCCUCCAUCAUCCUCUGCCGUAGUAGCCGCCCCCGCAUGCUCCGGCACGCUCUCCCUCCGUGACGUCCUCAAAUCUUACGGCACUCGCAUCACUGUUCACAACCACGCCCUCUGCCCAGUCGCACCUCCGCAAUCUGUGCCAUAUCCGAGUCGGCGUCACUGAAGGUGUGAGCGAGGUAAGAGAGAUCAGCACAGCAUUGACGUCAGAGCGGUGGAGGAAAAGGAGAAGGAAAAAGAAGCGGGAGGAGAAAGAGAUGAAGAAAUGGUGAAGAUGAAGGAGGAAGAAGAAAAGCAAGUGAGAGAAAAGAAAAAGGAGAGAAAAAGAGGAAUAAGAAAGGGUAUUUUGAUUAGUUUACUAAAACUUUAAGUUGAAUCUGUAAAAAAAAUUUUACAAAAAUACAAAAUCGAUGAAUUUUUAAUGCAAAAAUGCCUAGACAGUAAUACUCUUUUCUAUGUGAUUUGAAGGUUUCACUUGAAUCAAAUUAUCUAAACUCUUAUCGCUUUAUAGAUAACUAUUUUAAUUAUAGAAAUUUAAUAUUGUCACUUAAAAUUUUUAAAGUUGUGUAAUUAACCAUUUAAAUUCAUGUUCAAUCAAUUCAAAGUGGCUAACAUUAGCCAAAUGGUAAAGAAACAGCAAAAUAAUAUAAGAAGGUCUUCAUCAUAAAAAGCUUUGUUAUGUUAUAUAUUGAAGUGCAUUCUUUAUUAUUUUUUGACCAUUUAAUUUUAUUUUAAAUGGAUGGAAUAUAGAUAUCGGUUACUAAUUACACAAAUUAAAAUUUUGGAUGGCAAAUAUUAUAUUCUUAAAAUUUAGAUAAUUAUAUACUAACAAGUAAUAUUUUAAAUAAUUAUGAUGCAUGCAACCUUAUUUUAAAAAUACAAGAAGGUUAGAUUGUAAGAUCAAAACUUUUAAAGUUAAGAUAUCUAUUUAAAUAUAUGCUAUUCUUCAGCAUGUUUGACUGUCAGAAUAAGAUAUCCACUAUUAACUUAUUCAUUGUGAAGUUUUUUUCUUUAUUUUAUGUGCUUAAAAGUUAGUAAUUUGAUUUUUGGUCCACAAAAGAUCUUGAUAUUUAUUAUUUGGAUGGAUAGCAUAUCUUACUUAUAAGGUAAUUAAAAGUCGAAUCAGAUAUUUAUUUUAGACAUUUAAUCAUAUUUAUCAUCUCUUAAAUACUACAUUCUUUUUUAAUAAGAUGUCCAUAUAUCUAAACAGAGCUGUCGACAAUUUCUAGUGCAGGUGACAAAGAACUUGAUGGUUAAUUAGUACCUGUGGUUCUAAAUUUGAAACUUAAUUUUCUCACAAUUCCAACUAAGUUCAUUUCUAGUAAAAAAAAGAAAAAAAUAAAACAAAUAGCAUAUUACCCUUCUCUAUCUCAUAAAAAAAAAAAAAAAAAAAUCCUAAAGAGGGUCUUCACAUAAAGCCUAUACUUUCUUACUAUUGGACUCCAAUUUAGCACUAGUAUGUAGGAGUAGUAGGCACUAUUAGUACAAGCCCACAUUCAACCAUUCAUAAUAUAGGAAUGUAAUUUUAUGAAGGAAAAAUAAACAUGCCACAAAUCCAUCGGGUUAAACUUUUGAGUUAGAUGAGUUUCAAAACAAUCAUUUCUAAGAGAAACAAUCAUUUCGGGGUUUAUAUUUAUAUAACAUAUUUUAGAAUAUGGUAGAGAAAAAUGAUUGUUUCAGUUUUACACUUUAGGGUUUGGAUUCAGUUUCGAAAUUUUGGUCAGGUUUUGAAGCUCGAUAUUCAAAAUCCGUCGGGUUCACUUCGGUUCAAAUUUCGGAUUUGUUUGUUGGGUUCGAGUAUGAAUAUUAUUUUAAAAAACCACUUAAUUAAUAAAGCCUUGUUUUAAGUGUUUGGACAUGUUUUAACGGUUAGGGAAUGCAGUGUUGCUCAAUGAAGUAAUUUUAUCUGGUGUUAUUUACUAAAGCACUCUAUAAAUAUCUUGAAGUUUCGAAUAUGGACAUGAAAUAUUGGACACAACACGACUAAGACACAAUGAUUCAUCAACUUUAAAAUUACUAAGAUACGAACACGAUAUAAACACAGUUAAUUAAAUGAGUAAUGCUUCUAUACUUUUUUUUUUUUUUCAUUACCGUUCAUUUACUCCCACUCAACGGUAUAGAUUUAAUAUUCUUAAAAUUGUGACCUGCGCACAAUAGCAGGUCAUUUUAGGAGUGGUACCGCUUACCAGGUACCUCAAAAAAGGGUAUUUUUAUUUUUUAAUAAUGAGAAAUUUAGUCAUUUUAUCUCUAUUAUAUUAUUAAAAUUUUUAUUCUCUCUUUAUUUCUUUUUUCUCUUUCUAUCUUUCCUCUCAUAUUUGGCAUUUCAUAUAAAAAAAUUUUCAAAUUAUUUGACAACAAGAACAUGAGAUUAUUUUGUGAACCAACUAUAGAUUUUUUUUCUAUAUUCAUCUUGAAUCCAACCCGAAUCAUAUAUAAAGUUUAAUAUUAUAUUCGAAUCUAUAUUUUAAAAAUUUAAAUUUAAUAUAAAAUAUUUUGAAAUAUGGUAAAAAGAAAUAAUUGUUUCGUGUUCCAGUCUUUCGGUUUGGAUUUGGUUUUGGGUUUCGAAAAAUUGGUUAGUUUUGGGUUUAGAUAUGGAUUUUUGAAAUCCAUCGAAUUCGGAAAUAGAUUUUGUAAUUGUUAAUCGGGUUCGAAUUCAAAUUUCUAAAUAUUGUUUUUGUCUGAAGUAAUCCUAAUCUUUUUAAUUUUUAUGUUUAAACUAAAUUUGUAAAUUACUAAACUAAAUUCGUAAAUUAAUGCCUAAUUAAUGCCUAAAUUAGGGUAAUCAAUCAAUUUCCUAAAUUAGUGCAAAUUAAUGUAUAAAUUUAGGAUAUUAAUUAAAAGUUUCUUUAAAUGUUGUAUAGUUUAAUUACCGAAAUAACCUCGAAUAAUGUAACCCAUUUACCUGCUAAAUAUUAAAAUUACAUCUUUACCCUCUAUUAAUCAACGGUUAAGAUUUAUUUUAUUUUUUUAAUAAUAAAGUACCAAAUCAUUUCUCUAAUUAAAUAUAAUAUUCUGAAUAUAAUAAUAUAUAUUUAUUAUAUAUAUAUAAUAAUAUUAAUUUUGCUAAAAUAAUAUUAUAUUUUUUAUAUGAACGAAAGCUAAUAAUAAUUUCAUUGAUAGUUUGUAUAUUUUCACAAAAAAAAUCUCUACCGCACGUAGUUAUUUAUAUCCUUCAGAAGAAUUUGCAUGUAUUCAUCAAAAAGUCAUAAUAUUUAUUAUUUUAUAUUAUAUGUGCAUGAAAAAAGAUAAAGGGAAAACUUCAAAUACCUCUCUUAUAGUUUUACUUUUUCUCACUUUAGUACCAUGUGGUUUAAAGUGUAUCAAGUUAGUACCCUGUGGUUUUGCACUUUUUCACUUUAAUACCCUGUGGUUUCGCACUUUAUCACUUUAGUACUUUGUGGUUUAAAAAUCACAGGGUACUAACUUGAUAUAAAAAUAAAACCACAAAAUACUAACUUGAUAUAAAAAUAAAAUUACAGAGUAAUAACUUGAUAUAUUUUAAACCACGGGAUACUAAAAUGAUAAAAUGAAAAAUCAUAGAAUACAAAAAUAAAAAAGUGCAAAACCAGGUGAAAGAUUUUUAAAGUUUUCCUAAAGAUAAAAUAAAAUAUAUAUUAUUUUAUGUGAAG
Molecule: long non-coding RNA, 13784 nt
Filed under: Ananas comosus (pineapple)
Lineage: Eukaryota; Viridiplantae; Streptophyta; Magnoliopsida; Poales; Bromeliaceae
Description: long non-coding RNA (ACOM_LNC025540)
Source: RNAcentral